Molecule: long non-coding RNA, 554 nt
Filed under: Salvia miltiorrhiza (redroot sage)
Lineage: Eukaryota; Viridiplantae; Streptophyta; Magnoliopsida; Lamiales; Lamiaceae
Description: long non-coding RNA (SMIL_LNC003515)
Source: RNAcentral
UAAAACAAAAAGAGCCCAGCAGAAGUAAAAUAAAAUCGGCCCAAACAAAUUAAAACAUGAGCCCAACUUAAUAAAAUCGGCCCACUCACUCUUUUUUAAAAUUUUUGGCCCACCCUAAACCUAACCCUAAUACAUACAACAUAUACCACACACACAAACACAUAACACACACACUCAAGCUCAGCGCCUCACUCUCCCUCUCUACCUCUCGGCUCUCUCCUCUUCUCUCCCUCUCGUCUCUCUGUCUCACCGGAAGUCAGCCGCACGCCGCCUCGCCGUGAAGGAGCUCGGCCGCCGUCCAUCUGGUCUUCCUCCUUCGGCUCCUGCUCGGACAAGGGCGCGGGUAGCUUCCUCUCCAUCCCCUCGUCUGGAACAGGGCAUCUGCCCUCUCCGCCAUAGGGAGCGCACGGCCGCCGCCUGGCCGCCUCCUCCGUCGUCCGUCGUGGCUGAAAUCGCGGUGGAGGCCGAGCUUUGUCUCGCCGGAAAGGUAAGUUCCAAAUCUUCCCCCUUUUCCUCUCUUUUCUAUUUUUAAACCUAGAUCUGAAAUUUCCCCC